This 651-nucleotide ribosomal RNA is filed under the name Tomentella ferruginea. RNAcentral's name for it is "eukaryotic LSU rRNA". The stretch from base 271 to 425 matches the Rfam family "5.8S ribosomal RNA". The record is from RNAcentral. Lineage: Eukaryota; Fungi; Basidiomycota; Agaricomycetes; Thelephorales; Thelephoraceae.
CUUGGUCAUUUAGAGGAAGUAAAAGUCGUAACAAGGUUUCCGUAGGUGAACCUGCGGAAGGAUCAUUACUGAACUGUCAACACGAGUUGUUGCUGGCCCUCAAAUGGGGGCAUGUGCACGCUCUGUUUACACAUCCACUCACACCUGUGCACCCUCUGUAGUUCUAUGGCGUGGGGGGCCCUGCCCUCCUGCUGUGGUUCUAUGUCUUUACACACACACACUGUGAUGAAGUUUCAUGGAAUGUACAUCGCGUUUAACGCAAUACAAUACAACUUUCAGCAACGGAUCUCUUGGCUCUCGCAUCGAUGAAGAACGCAGCGAAAUGCGAUAAGUAGUGUGAAUUGCAGAAUUCAGUGAAUCAUCGAAUCUUUGAACGCACCUUGCGCCCUUUGGCUAUUCCGAAGGGCAUGCCUGUUUGAGUAUCAUGAACACCUCAACUCUCGUGGUUUUGCCAUGAUGAGCUUGGACUUUGGGGGUCUUGCUGGCCUAUGGUCAGCUCCUCUUAAAUGAAUCAGCUUGCCAGUGUUUGGUGGCAUCGCAGGUGUGAUAACUAUCUACGCUUGUGGUUUUCCAUCAAGUAACCUUCACCAAUGGAGGUUCACUGGGGCUCAUAAAGGCCUCUCCUCAGUGAGGAUGGCUCCUUUGAAGUUG